UGGGGGAUAUUGGACAAUGGGGGGAACCCCUGAUCCAGCGACGCCGCGUGAGUGAAGAAGUAUUUCGGUAUGUAAAGCUCUAUCAGCAGGGAAGAAAGAAAUGACGGUACCUGAGUAAGAAGCCCCGGCUAACUACGUGCC
RNAcentral lists this ribosomal RNA (141 nucleotides) under uncultured bacterium. Its description in RNAcentral is "partial 16S ribosomal RNA". It matches the Rfam family "Bacterial small subunit ribosomal RNA", at positions 355 to 509 of the family's 1533-position model. The record is from RNAcentral.